This 393-nucleotide ribosomal RNA is filed under the name uncultured bacterium. RNAcentral describes it as "partial 16S ribosomal RNA". It matches the Rfam family "Bacterial small subunit ribosomal RNA", at positions 523 to 918 of the family's 1533-position model. The record is from RNAcentral.
ACACGUAGGGGGCGAGCGUUAUCCGGAUUCAUUGGGCGUAAAGCGCGCGCAGGCGGCGCGCCAAGCGGGACCUCUAAUCUGGGGGCUCAACCCCCAGCCGGGUCCCGAACUGGCGCGCUCGUGUCCGGUAGGGGAGGUCGGAAUUCCCGGUGUAGCGGUGGAAUGCGCAGAUAUCGGGAGGAACACCGAUGGCGAAGGCAGACCUCUGGGCCGCGACAGACGCUGAGGCGCGAAAGCUAGGGGAGCGAACAGGAUUAGAUACCCUGUUAGUCCUAGCCGUAAACGAUGAUAGCUAGGUGUGGGGGGACCGCCCCUCCGUGCCGCAGCCAACGCAUUAAGCUAUCCGCCUGGGGAGUACGGCCGCAAGGCUAAAACUCAAAUGAAUUGACGGGG